UAACAUGCAGUCGAACGGCAGCGCGGGAGCAAUCCUGGCGGCGAGUGGCGAACGGGUGAGUAAUACAUCGGAACGUGUCCUGUAGUGGGGGAUAGCCCGGCGAAAGCCGGAUUAAUACCGCAUACGCUCUACGGAGGAAAGGGGGGGAUCUUAGGACCUCUCGCUACAGGGGCGGCCGAUGGCGGAUUAGCUAGUUGGUGGGGUAAAGGCCUACCAAGGCGACGAUCCGUAGCUGGUCUGAGAGGACGACCAGCCACACUGGGACUGAGACACGGCCCAGACUCCUACGGGAGGCAGCAGUGGGGAAUUUUGGACAAUGGGGGCAACCCUGAUCCAGCAAUGCCGCGUGUGUGAAGAAGGCCUUCGGGUUGUAAAGCACUUUUGUCCGGAAAGAAAUCAUCCUGGUUAAUACCUGGGGUGGAUGACGGUACCGGAAGAAUAAGCACCGGC
RNAcentral lists this ribosomal RNA (450 nucleotides) under Burkholderia sp. MRhNF2(3). RNAcentral describes it as "bacterial SSU rRNA". It matches the Rfam family "Bacterial small subunit ribosomal RNA", at positions 51 to 497 of the family's 1533-position model. The record is from RNAcentral. Lineage: Bacteria; Pseudomonadati; Pseudomonadota; Betaproteobacteria; Burkholderiales; Burkholderiaceae.